Molecule: long non-coding RNA, 11065 nt
Organism: Pseudopipra pipra
Lineage: Eukaryota; Metazoa; Chordata; Aves; Passeriformes; Pipridae
Exons: 2
Source: RefSeq, a predicted model, not a curated record
CCUUUUUCUUUUUUCUUUUUUUUUAAAUACAAAUGCAUAGUAACAAUUUGUAGGCCUUUUCUUAAAUUGCAUGUUUUGCAGUAGCCAUGAAAGUAAGCAAGCCAGGAGAUUAAGGAAGUGUGAGGAAAGCAAGUAAAACCCAGAAAAGAACAGCAAGAAGAGCACAGUAGUUUCUUUACAAGUCCAACAAAGAUGGUCUGGACAAACAUCACUCUAAUUGGAGCAAUUCUUCAGUAUUUUAUUGCAGAUAAAUAAGCCAUCCACUCUAUUAUAUAUGACAUUGCAUAUUUGUUCCAAUAAUCUUUAACUGGGUACUGUGACUGCACUGCUUUGUGUGUUUUCAUUCCAAAUGACUAAAACAAGCUUUGUAAAAUCUCCCCAGAAAAAUAUGAUGUCCUGUUAAAUCACUACUCCAAUAUGAUUACAAAACCCCCUGACUUUUAUUACUCUGUUAGUUCGUCAUAAGCCAUAAUAAAGCAGAGCAAUAACCAGCCAGCACGAAAGAGCAACCAUUUUCAGCAAAAGUGGGGAGAAGCAGAUAGGAUCUAGUUUGUGUUCUGCAAAGCCUCAAGCCAGCCAGAGGCUGACACUCUGCCUCUCGCUGGCUUCAUUAGAAAUAUCUCAGCAUCUCAUAGGAUUACUGAGCACCUGGUAAUAUCUACUUCAUCGGUGAAGUUCCAAGUACUCAGUGUCCACAUCACCUGUUAACAAAUUAUAGCCAAAGGGAUACUGUAUUUGUAAGAGCCAGUCCAAACACUAGUGAACAUCUUCACUAUUUCACUGGGUUAAAAAAGGUGCACCCACUCAAGUCAUCAAUGAAGGCAUCAUAUCAGUACCAUGAGGAUCAGACCAUGUAAAAUGAUUUUGCAAUAUUUCCAUAUCAUAAAAUAUGUACAUACAUUAAAUCCACCAAUCUUGUUGCCUACAAAUACUGCUGAUGCCUAGGAAUUUACUAAGCCAUCCACAGAGCUUUGUGAACUGUCUUUAGGACCUGAGCCAAACCUCAGACCCUGAGCCUUCUUCAUUGUUAUGAACACUUUUAUAGUACUCAAUUAAAGUUGUUUUUCUUAUUUUAAUUAACCAAUUUCUUAAUAGCAACAAAACACUUGCAGACACACACAUGCAUUUCACUGUGAGGAGAUUAUUGCACAGGAAAUAUGUUAAAUUCAUUUGGUCUGCGACCUGGCAUCCUCUAACAUCAUCGAAGUAGGCACUGGAUUUACAGAUCAGCACUGUAUUGCCUGCAGCACCCUGACACGUACACCCCUGCACCUCACACAGAGAAACUCAUUAGAAAACUGGCCUGAAGGAGCAGAAAUAAAAUUAAAACAAAACAUGGAAACUGUUGAUGCAGAGUAAAUGUGGCCCAAAACAGGGUAAUUCCACUUGUACAUUUGUUAACAUAGGGCAAAAAUGCAACUCUUAUGGAAACUUUCAGCAGAAAUCAUAAAUAAGCAAUGAAGAUACUGGUCUUUUCAAGUGCCACAUAGUUCAGUAGAGAACUCACAACCACUUAAUGAACAAUUUGUUAAAGAAAAGAGAAGUAGUGAGUUUUUCCCUCAAUUAAAUUCAAUGGGAUUGCAUGUAUAAGUCAACUGUAACUCAAAGUGACAUUCUGGUAAUAUUAAAUACUCAUUGAAAUUUUGUAUUAAUUCAUGUAUUGUUCUAAUGGAUCUUUUUUUUUUUUUUGUGAGUGCACAAUUCCUUUUUUUCAGCACAGCACUGUAUAUUACCUAAUCACAUCGAGAAAAUUUUGAAAACUCCAACUUCACAACCAAUGCCAUCUAAGCAACCCUACUCAGAGGGGCAAACUGGUGGAAGAGUGAUACCUCCUCUAAUCAUCAGUGAAAGCCUUGAAUACCUAAGAAAGAGGUCGGAUUUUUUUUCCAAAAUAGUUGUCAUUCUGUUCUCCUUUCAACUGAGAUAUUGUUGACUUUGAAAACCUGAACCCUGGAUACUCCGCAAGGUAUGAGUUAAACUAGAGAAAAUAUUUUAUUUAACUUUAUAUUAACCCUAGUGUUGAACAAUGAGGUGAUUAGAAACUUCCCUUUCACAUAUCCUGGCAUUCGUCCACUUGAACACUUUCCAUUUAAUUUCUUUGUUUAUUUUCUUUUUAAAGGAAAAAAAGCCACUUAUGGGUGAAGGCAUAAAGCUGACAGUCGAACUUCCCCUAAAUAUUAAUCUUGGAGAGUGACCAAACCAAAUAUAUUUGCUUCGAAGUUGCUGUUUCUAUUUUUAUUUUAUUUUCUAAUUUAGAAAGGUGUAAGAAAAGGAGAUUGUAAUGGAAGCUGAGUUUCAUUCUUGACCACAGCAAGUACUGGAAAGAUCUCACAAUGAUUUAUGUGCAUACAUCUUAUAUUUCAUUUCCUUAUCUUUUUAAAUGAGUUGUGAAUAAUUCAGAGAAUGACUGUCUGGAUAACAGAGUUUGUGCACCCCUGAAGAUCGAAAUCUUCUAAUUACCCAGUAACAGAUACAGCCUGGAAGUUGCGACACCAGCUUUCCCUAUCCCACCUAUCCAUGGCCCAGGACUCAUCCCUAUGCAUGAGCCCUUUGCUAUCCAACUCCCAAUUAGUUCUCAGCUUGUCCUUCAAGACAUCCAACAAGGCUGACAGUGAAGAUAACGUUCAUAAGAGGCCACUUGCCCUGGGGGAAGUCAACUGUCACUAUCAAACUUGUUCCAGCAAAAUAUUAAAUAUUUGGCGUAUGAUAAUAACAUACCUGUCACUAUUGCCUCAGAUCAGCUUUCAACCUCACCGGAGAGAGACUCAUAAAUCCUUACUUAGCUCUUAUUAUUUCCCAGUAAGUCCUCCUCUUUGUGCAAUAGCUCUUGAGCUCAUUGACCUGAGUACACACUUAAGAAACUCUGUUAGUUAUCUAAAACAAGAUAAAAUGAAGACAGGCAGAAGCUGAGUUAAUCACUUGGACAUAUGGAAAUAAUGUGGCAAUGCUGUUUGUAUGCAGGCAGGCAGUUCCCUAAUAGUAUCACUGCAAAACACUCAGGGGUUUUUAACAAGGGGGAAAAAAAAUACAAGGGAGCUGCAUAAGAUAGCCAGAAUUUGAUAGAUUUGAUUGAAAGCUCCUCUUCUGCUUUUUUUGCUGUGGGCAUAAUGAGCAGGAUCUAUAAUUGCUAAACAGCAUUUAAAAACUACAGCCAAAUUCAAAUCAAAGAAUGAGGAAACUUUUCAGUUAGGAACACGGAGACUAACUGGACAAUGGGAAAACACCAAUUUUGUCAUAAAACUCUUCUUGAAAUAUACUAAAAUAGACAGUCCUGGCUAUUUAGCCCCACUGCAAGCGCCAUUCUGAAGAUAGGAGAUGGGCUUGGGUUUGGUGUUUGGAAAUUCAGGUCUUCACAUUGCCUGUUCCCUUUGGUAAGUCUUGCACAAAAAUUAGCCAUUUUGUUCCUCCAGUGGCUAAUUGUAGAGUGGUGGCUUCAGAGCUGUGCUCUUCUGAUCCAAGGACACCUUCCCAAGGCAGGUUUACCCUGAGACUCCCCUACUCAUUUGUGCUUCUAGAAUUGUCCCCGAUUUAAAUGACCUUUCUUUUCUGUCAUUUGUUUUCCUGAUAAUAUUUAUAGAGACCAAUCACAAAAAUAUUAAAGAUGUGCAUAUUGAUUCAGAAAGGAAAAAAAACAGGAACAGCAUGACUGAUAUAAUAUAAACAGCUGGGGGUGGAGAGGUUUAAAGGUGUGAAAUUUCUCUCUGCAUUUGAAUAUCAAACAUACUGUGUUUGGGGGUGAGAGGGGAAUGGGAUUGUUUCAUUUGAUUAACAAGAGGCCACUAACAAAGUUUAAACCUGAAUUUGCCAAAUGGUUUGGGUGGUUCAGCUGCCAAUGUUUUAUUCAGCUAGCUGCAUACAACCAGCACCCAUCUGUAAGAUGUUUCCUUCCCUGUGUUUAUUUCCCAGGAGGCAACAUUGGGAACCACUGAGCUGAGACCAGUUUCCUCCAGUCCCUCCCAUCUGCCAACAUGCAAAUGUCACAUUUCCCUGGGCCAGGCAUUCAGGUGUCAUGGGCUAGUGAGCUGCAAGUGCUGAGCUCAGGUCAGCUCUCAGCUGGCCACAGGAUCUGACCCAGUGGCUGCUCUGCUCCCGUGGGCAGAGGGAGGUUUCAGCUGGGUGGAAAGGAACCAGCUCCAUGGCUGACUUCCUUGUGAAGAACAAUAAAAUCAGAGAGUGGGGAGCUCACACCAGUCUGUUUUCUAGAAUAAUCAUAUCAACAAUAAAAACAAAUCUCUUUUUCCAGCCCAGCCCUGUGGAGCUGCCAGAAUGGACUUUAGAGAUGUAAUCCCCAGCAGCUGGACCAUUGUGUGGCGCUCUCAUGGCUGGUUUAGGCCAGAUCCAUCAGCUGCCAGCGCUGCAGGAGCAGCAGAAUGCUUGGCACGGGCUACAAAACCUGCCCAGGAAGGAGUUGGCACCCAGCAGGUACCUGAGCCUGAGUCUCCGGCAGGCUGACACAUGUGCCACCACAGCAGCGAGUCCCUGCCCCUCUGCAAGAGGUGACAAUGAGGACACUUGGCCAGGCCUCUCUGGUUGGUCACUGCUGCAACACAGAGUCUUGGACUCCCCUUGAAGGGUGGCCUGCAAAGGCAUGACCUUAAACUUCACAGCUGUGUGUCCUCAGCCCAUCGAAAAUGAGGACAUCUCUUCAGCAGCUGGAGUAUCACCAGACUGGGAGAUUGAGUAGGUCCCCUGCCAUAGCAGCGCCUGUGAAAGGGAAAUCAAUAAGGUAAGGUAAGGUAACAUUAUAAGGAUGUCUCCUCUGGAGAUAGUGCAGGCAUUUGGUGGCAAUAACUCCUGUUAACUUCUUGCUGGUCACAUCUGAAACGAUGAACUUGGCUGUACCAUAUUCCUUUUUCUAGACCAUUUCCUAAACUAUUGAAAAUGAGGAAAGUGUUUGCAUUUGAUUUUGCCACUAAGUGUUAAUUUGGGACCUGCUAUACCUUCUUUGUAGUCUCUAUUUCAGUAAUUUUAAAACUGGUGGGAUGAUAUAGAAAAAUAGGGCUACAGCCCUAUUAAAGAAAGGAGCUAGAAAAUACGGUACUCUCUUUUAAACAAUUCAAAACUGUUCCAUAUAUGCUUUAAGCUCUCAUCUGACAGUUUUCAAUCAACUAGUUCACACUCAAGCUUAGCCCCUUGUAAGGUUUCAGUCCUAACUGUGUUCUGCUAGUAUUUUAAAAGUUGAGGAGAACUGCAUGUGGGCAAUAACUGGAGAUAGAGAAAACACCCUAAAAAAACAGUACCCAGUUUGGUAACAUGGAUUGCAGCACAGGAGACAGUCAGCUUUGAAGACUAGGCAGAAAGCCAAGCCACCCCUAGUCACGGCUGGAACUGGAAACACAAAGGAUUGCAUCCCACUCUUCCCAAGUCACAGUUCCCCAAACCCUUACUCAGCUGUUACUUACGGUGCUGAAAAUUGUUUUCAGAAUUCUUGGAAAUGCCUGUAAUCUCCUUGGCUUCAACAUUUACACCCAAUAUAGUCCCAUAUCAGAUUGCAAGUCUGUUUCCUGAUGGAGGGGGUGCUCAGGCCUAGGCAUCAGCCUUCAGUCCCUGGACAACUUCAGUCAUGAAACCAGCAUUGCUGGGGCAAAGAUUUAGGAUGGAGCUUCUCCCUUUCCAGGGAGAGUAAGAGAGGAGAGAUGCACUUGCUCAUGCAAGUUGUUUUCCUCGGCACUGAGUAGUGGUCACUCAUUCCGUGCAAGGUGGGAAGCUGUGCAGGGAUGGAGAGAAGCUGUCCCCUGUAUCACAAAAGACAGUUGUCCAGGAUGGCAAUGCCUGCACAGCCCUUGCUGCCUGCAGGCUUGGAGCAUUGCCCUCCCUCGCAAUGGAGAUGCCUUUCAGCAUCCCAGAAUGAAGUAGUUAAAGCUUGGAGACUUCAGGGUGUAAGGCAUGAUCCCAAGGCUGAUCACAGUGAUGUCUGGUGACAGUGACCACGUGGUCCUCAGCUGCUUGCCUUCCAGAGAAGUGGGAAUGGUCAUAUCACCAGACAAAGCUUGUCCGGGGGAACAGCUUACCAGCAGCAAGCCUGGUUGUCACCUCUUCAUAGUUUUCCCCCAAUGUCCACAUUAAACAGGUCCCUGUUAAACACUCCCUGAAUCUUCUUCUGUGCUUUGGUUCUUCCCCCCUAACCUGUGCAGGGAAUCUGGGAGCUUAAUGCAGGCUGUGUCAGCUUUGCUUCUGCAGCAGGGCUGCUAUAAUUUGUACUAGUUUGCAUUCCCAAGGCCAUUUGCAUGUUUCACCUUUUUUCAUCUAUUUUAGAUCUUCCCUCACACGCUUCGCCCCCCACUUGCUUCUCUUCUCUGCAGGGAUUCUCCCAGAGCUUGCUCUACAGAAAUCUCUCAUCGUCCUUAGCUGAGUUCUUCUGUGCAAUGCGUAGUGAGAGUUACAGGGGCUAAAAGAAGAAAGCUGACCUGCCGGACACAGCAGGCCGUUGCUGCCCUGGAAAACAAGCACUUGUGGUCUCUGCAUGGAGUCCGUGUGUGAGGGGGGGUUGACCACUCAAACUCAGUUGUCUACAGGCAGUCACAUCCUCUAAGCAUGCUGGACAACAAUGGCCUGACCCAGAGACUUGGACUGAUGUGCAGACUUGAAGGACACUGUUACUGACGAGAUGUCUUUGUACCACACAUAAGACAUGAUUAUGAUUCUGACAAAUGAAAAUGUCUCAGACUGAGCUCUCAGAAAUACUGCUUUGGACUCCAGUGCCUGCACCUCAGAUCCUUCUGUUUGAUGAGGAUAAAGUAUGUCCUUAAUGCAGUGUGUGUCCUUAAAAGAAAGCAGUAUUUGUGAAGCACUCAGAUACUUCAGCGUCACAGGAAAAAUUGAAGAAACUAGUAGUUCUGACUUUGGAACAAGAGCUGGGUAGUAGGUAGUGACUAGGGUAUGGAAUAAUGCAUUCAAAAAGAAAGUUGCAAUGAAAUAUUUAAUACAUUGAUGCAAAGAUGCUGUGGGCAUUUUAGACAGUGUCAUAAAGUUUGGCAAUCACAUUUGCAAAGGCCAAACUGGGGUUUCACGGAUAACAUUACCUGUUUGGUUUUUUUUUUCAUUUUGAGUACUUGAGUUUGUAGCCCUAAGACCAUUUUUUUUCCAAACUGAGCAACAGCACCACUUCUAGAAAACUUAAUGCCCAGGGAGCUCACAAUCAAACAUUUAUAGCUUUAUGGGCAACAAAUACUCUGCAAGACAAGACUACAAAGAAGUCCCAUGCACAAGUAUUCUUUUUGCUCUCACUCUAUCCACUUCUCUCACCAUACCCUUUUUUCGAAUACUUAUUACAUUGUCAGCAUUGUUAUUGGCAAUCCCACUGCAAACUAGUAAAAUGGGGAAUGAUGUUUAAUGCCUUUUUAUGGAUUUCUCAGUUGAUUCAGUUGGGUCCUAUUCAAAUAUUGUGUUCAUUUUAAAUGCUGCAAAUGGUGAGGCAAGCGUGACUUUUGUUCAAGAAUCUGUUUUUCAAAUACAUCAUAUUUAGAGACCUAUAAAUAAAAAAAAUUCAGAAAUAAUGUUGAUUAAUUUUAGGCAACUGGCACAGUUUUCAUACUGUACUUCAACCACUAUCUUAGGAGUUGUUUCUGUCAGGAAAAGACUGCACUAUGAAUAAUUCUUUCAGUAUUUCUGUGGAUGCUGACUUCUAAGGCAACUGAAACAAAAGCAGCUCUUCAGAGGAGGUCUAUGCAAGAUUUCCCAGCCAAUGAAGCUUCUAGGAAAGAUCAGAGAGAACAAGACACCACAAAUGAGGCUGCGGUACUCAGUGCCAGGUAGGGCUAGCUUUGUCCAGCACCUAUAGGGAUGUUGGAAAGGACAACUUGCAACCUAUUUAUUGGGGUCACUGGUGGCAAUGCUGGGAGACCUGCUCCUCGACUUUGUUUCUGUAGCAUUGCUAUAUGGUGCUGGUGUCACUCAGCAUCUCACACUCCACAGGGACAUGGGAGAAAUUUAACUCCCUGCUGCAAUACACUCUUUUUUGUAUCAAAUGGGUUUUUUUGUUUCUCCUGGAGUUCAAUAGUUUGGUGCCUGGAAGGGCUGUGCUGUAAAGCGUGCUCUGCUCCUGUUUACAGUCACUAGUAGGAUGGAGAGCAAUACACUCAUUUACUCCUAGGUAACAGCUGUGCUUAAUCAUCCAUGGGACUGUAAGACGUCCUCUUAGUGUCUACCUAAUUAGCAGCUCUGCCAUUUAUUGGAAUAUUUGGCCACUUCAGUUUGAAAACUGAUUUAUUACUAUCAAAGAAAUUAUCAACUCUUUCAAACAUCCUCUGGAUGCUUCCCUAGGAUACUCACUGAUAGGGGUUCCUAGAAUGUAUAAAAUCUGUUAAGUACUUGAGCCUUCAUACAAAUUUCCUACAGCAAACAACACCAAGAAUCUUUGGAACUCCAGUUCUUCACACAAUUCAUCAUCUAAUUCAUUAGUUCAAAAUCUUGUAUUUGGAUUUUAAAAAAAACCCCAUCAUCAUUAUUUUGGAAUUGCAAUCCUGUCACGUAAAAAUCCCCACACAACUUUAUAUGUGUUUGUCUUACUGAUUUUAAAGGUCCACCUGCUCGAUUUGCAAGUAUCCUAUUUGGUCUCCUAAAUGUCAGUCAGGAAAAACAUGGCAUCAGCCUUCAUUGGUUCUCUUCACUUGACAGAUAUAUGUCUGCGUGUCAAAAGAACAUGCUGUGGUUCUGCCACAGUCCUAUCUGUCCCAUUUAACUUAGUCAUUAAAUUGAAAAAAAAAACUAAAACAAAAAAACAAAACCAAAACCAAACAAACAGAAACCACCCCCCUGCCCCCAAAAAAACCACAAACCAAAAGAAACCACCACCAAAGAAAAAACCCCAAACCCUAAAUGGAUUGCAGUAAGACAAGUGUGCUAGUUUCAUGGUAGGGGAAAAGCAAGCUGUAUUAACUCUGACAUUUCUAAACCCCAAGACUGUGGUUUUAGCUUAGGAUGGAUCCUGGGAACAAGGAUCUGCUUUCACACACGUGCUGCAAUACAGGGACCAAGAUACAUUCUGACCCCACUCUGCACUUGCCUGGACAGGGUGCAGGGGCUGGCAGCCUCAGCAGUGUGCACUGCCCACAGAUCACACACCCACACGUGCAUUUAAUGCAUCAAUAAAUUUCUUGAACAGUUUUUUAUGUCUGUGUGACAAAUGACUGGGGGGGUAAGAAUUUUCUACAUCAGUAACCCUCCCCACCCCUUGCUCCACCCCACUCCACCAAACAGAUGCCCCGUACCUGGAGACGUUUCAAUGCCUAAAUUAUUAAUAAAAUAAGCAUGAUAAUGAAUAAUCUAUGUUAAGCAUUUUCUUACCCUUUAUUUUUUCAUUAUGAUCAGAAGAGGAAUAUGAUUAACAGCAGUUUAAACUUUAGCAGUACAAUUUCAGUAUUAAAUAUAAAACUACACUGCAAGUUGAUGUGUUUUAAAAAUGGUUAUGUAUACUCUAACCUUAAAUUUAUGUAUCAAAUACAAGUAACUCAAUUGUUUCUUGCCUUGACAAUUAACAUAUCUAACAGGUUUCAACAAGCCAGACAUCCAUCUUUUCCAUUUAAAAAAAAUAAGCAAGCACACCAACUCUUAUUCAUAGCAAGGGAGUGUAAAGAUUCAACACUUUCCUGAGUGUUGUGCAAAGAAUAACAGGUUCAAGAAAGUCAGUUAGAUAAAUGUAAUGAUAAACCUAAAGCUAAGCUGGAGGACCUUUUGAUUAACUUCAUAUUUCAUAUAUUACUUGCAUCAGUUGAGAGCAACAUGAGUUACAGAACUUCCAUGAAAACAAGCCACUUACAAGCAGGUGUUUAAGCUUGAUCAGUUUAUUAAAAGGAUUAUAUGACACGGUUGCCUGCAAUAGCAGGGGACUGGAUCUGAUGACCCAGGAAGUUCUUUCCAGUCCCAUGUUUCUAAGCCAUGCACCAAGUGUAUCCAGCCCACACUUUCACAUUUGGAAAAAGCCAAAGCCACACACACACGCUCACAGGAAAAAAAAGUAAAAAAGAAAAUAAAAAAGACCUCGAUGACACCAUUUCAUUUUCUAGAUAUUCACUAUGCAGAAGGGAACAGAGCUAAAGUCCUGUACAGAGGAUACAUUUACUCGAGGUUGAUGUGGUACUGAAGUCAGUUAAUAAUUAGAUACCUCCAGGCAGAUUCAGUUACAGGGCAUACCAACACUGCACACUGCCAGACAAUUUCUAAUCAAGCCAAGAACCUCUUGCAGGAUGAGGUCUGUUUGCUAGCAAGCACAGGGUACACUGAAUAAGCUAAAAGCAGCUGUUCUUAAAUGAACUACCCUACCAACCGUGAGUGAAUGACAGAUAGAUGGUAAGAAGCAUUUACCUACUAGACAAGAUCUCUGCACACUCAGGCAGAAGUAAUUAGUUCAGAGCUGCAACCAUUGCUCCUACCUUGCCUGUCUCUUGAGUAUGUUCUCUUUAAAAGCUGGUCUACAGAAUCAGUGCAGCCAUUCUCAAGCACUACUGAAGUAGCAGUUUGCAGCUGCUAUGCAAGACUCUACUUUCAAAUGGUAGUCAGACAUUCCCAUCAUGUGGUCAGUUUGCUAAGACAGCAGCCACAGCAAUCAGCCUUUGCAACAAAUGAUAUCUAAACAAUUGCCUGCAUUCAGCCCAUCUAACCUUUAGGCACUUUGUUAAGGUGUCUGGGUCCCUAGUCACCCAGGUCUCCCCCCACCCCCCAGGAAAAGAAUAAAAAUAUCAGUGAAGGCAGAUAGUCUCAAUUGCCUUCUGGAGGUGUCUCUUGACCCCUCACUGAGCAAAGCUGUAUUUCAAGCAACCAAAUUCUUAACACAGGCACCUCAGUUAGACAGGAUGAAUGGAGACUUGCAUCUCUUCCAAGAGAUAGUAUCAAUACUCUCCAAAACCAAAGGCAAUUAAGCAAUUAAGGUUUGCAACUCUAGUUACAUUUGGAAACAAACUUACAGUCAAGUGAUUAUGCAGUAAUCCCUCCCUCCCAAGCAUAAAAGCCUUCCACAUGGAGGCUCUGCUGCUAAAAAAAAAAAAAAAAGAAAAGAAAAGAAAAAAAAAAAGGAGAGAAAAAGCAUUCUUCUUUCAGACAAAGAAGACUGCACACGGCUGCUUUGCCA